GCAACGAGCGCAACCCUUGCCUCCUGUUGCUAACAGAUAAUGCUGAGCACUCUGGAGAGACUGCCGGUGAUAAACCGGAGGAAGGUGGGGAUGACGUCAAGUCCUCAUGGCCUUUAUGCCCCGGGCUACACACGUGCUACAAUGGGCGAUACAAAGGGUCGCAAAACCGUGAGGUGGAGCUAAUCCCAAAAAGUCGCUCCCAGUUCGGAUUGCUUCAUACGCUUUCCGGGUGCAUGAAGCUGGAAUCGCUAGUAAUCGC
This 259-nucleotide ribosomal RNA is filed under the name uncultured Acidobacteriota bacterium. RNAcentral's name for it is "uncultured Acidobacteria bacterium partial 16S ribosomal RNA". It matches the Rfam family "Bacterial small subunit ribosomal RNA", at positions 1089 to 1345 of the family's 1533-position model. The record is from RNAcentral. Lineage: Bacteria; Pseudomonadati; Acidobacteriota.